CCGGGCCGCCGCAUAAAGCGCCGCGGUCCCGAGCGCCGCCGCCCCGUGCCUGAGCCACGGGCUCUCCAGCCCCUGAGAAGCCCUGCAUGGACCCUCCUGCUCUGCUGGGGCCUGGCUGCUUGCUGCACAGGUGCCAUGGCCUUGCAGCCGCCCAGCAUCACCAUCCUGCGGAUGCCAGCAGAGCUUCCUCGCCCAGGGACUUCGUGGGGUGAUCUCUGAAGAGCUGAAGAACUGGAUUUUCCUCACACUGGGGCAUCAGCUGUGAGUUUGUGGGCCCCACAUCAGCCAAUUCCCUGGGGGCUCCCCUGGCAGGGGGAAACUCUCCUGAAGCAGGAAAAGCAGACCCACAGGACUUUUUCGGUCUUCAAGUUCUUGUUUUACUGUUAUCUUAUCAUGACUUCAGCACAUUGUCUACACCCAGACCUUGUAUGCCUGAAAAUAGCACAAAAGUGGCUAACAAACUCCUUCUGUAAGGUCUUUUAAAGUCUAAUCAAAAACUAAACUACCCAAUUAAGAAGUGACACCUAGAUUAUUACCUUUUCUAACCCAAUAACUGACCCCUAAAGACCCGCAAUGAGGAUUUUUCUGCCCAAACAAGAUGUCACCCAAACCCAAGAAGAAGGAAGAAGAAGGAAGAAGAAAGGAACUUAAGACAACACCCUGUACCCUCCAUCUUGUGCCUAUCUACAAUAUGUUAAAAAUCCUAAAAUCUAAUUUCUCACCCAUGUGACAUACUAAACUACUCUCUACAAUUUCUACAAUCUAUUUCACACUUUUGUGGUCUCUAGUUUACUUUGAGGCUUAGGAGGCCUUCUCCACAAAUGAGGGUUAAAGUCAGUGUUUUCCUGGGAGUCAGAGCACCCCAGGGCAGACAAGGGGAUAUUCCCCCUGCCCUGGGUUCCCACGGUAACAUUUGGAAGAAGGGGCAGCAAGUCAGGAAACCAACAAGGAUCUAAUGAGGCAGAGAGAAAAUGAGAAGAAUGGAAGCCCAUCUGGCCACUGCUGUAAAAUACAAUAAAACAAAUGUUUCUAUAAAUACAUUAACCACAAAACAAGGGCUAAAGAGAAUCUCCUUUAUUGUAUAUCUGGGCAAAUCUAGAGACAAAGAAUGAGGAAAAGUCUCAGGUACCUCGAAAGGUGAUGGAGCAAAUAGAGCAAACCAUCCUGAGUGCCAUAAUGUGGCAUGUGCAGAUCAACCAGGGAUCAGGCCCAGCCAACAUGGGUGUGUGAAAGACAAGUCCUGCUUGAGCAACCUGGCUUCUGUGACAACAUGACCUGCUUGGUGGGGAAAGGCUGCCACCUGCAUGAUGGAUGUACUGUCAUCUGCAAUUUCCCCAAAUGGACGGAGCUUCAACAUCUGUGACAAUGGCAAAUUGCUCAUGUUCUCCCAUAUGAGAGAGAAGAAAUACUCCAUGAAAUGACUCUCAUCUGACAAGGGAGGUGAGGCUUUGGGCAGAUAAUUUUCAGAUGUGUUGCAUGAGAAAGGUUGUCAUCCCCUAAAAAACCUACACCAAGACUAUUAAAAUAGCCCAAAGUCUGCUCCUUGCCCAUGUCUGCAGGUUUGAAUUCUGUGAGAUAUGACUAAGGCUGGAUCCAUUCACACAGUACAAUAAAGGCUUUGAAAUAAGAGCCUUGCACUGGCAGCAGUGAAUUACAUGAAACUGAGAUAAAAUAUAAGAAAACUUCUGUCCAGA
Non-coding RNA from Lonchura striata (white-rumped munia), 1694 nucleotides. The record is from RefSeq and is a predicted model, not a curated record. Lineage: Eukaryota; Metazoa; Chordata; Aves; Passeriformes; Estrildidae.